UGCCAGCCGCCGCGGUAAUACGGAGGGUGCGAGCGUUAAUCGGAUUUAUUGGGCGUAAAGGGCGCGUAGGCGGGAGUGUAAGUCAGAUGUGAAAUCCCGGGGCUCAACCCCGGAACGGCAUUUGAAACUACAUUUCUUGAGGGUAGACGGAGAAAACGGAAUUCCACGUGUAGCGGUGAAAUGCGUAGAUAUGUGGAAGAACACCAGUGGCGAAGGCGGUUUUCUAGUUUAUACCUGACGCUAAGGCGCGAAAGCAAGGGGAGCGAACAGGAUUAGAUA
Molecule: ribosomal RNA, 279 nt
Filed under: uncultured bacterium
Lineage: Bacteria
Description: partial 16S ribosomal RNA
Rfam family: Bacterial small subunit ribosomal RNA
Source: RNAcentral